This 459-nucleotide ribosomal RNA is filed under the name uncultured bacterium. RNAcentral's name for it is "partial 16S ribosomal RNA". It matches the Rfam family "Bacterial small subunit ribosomal RNA", at positions 338 to 795 of the family's 1533-position model. The record is from RNAcentral.
CCUACGGGAGGCAGCAGUGAGGAAUAUUGGUCAAUGGCCGAGAGGCUGAACCAGCCAAGUCGCGUGAGGGAAGACGGCCCUACGGGUUGUAAACCUCUUUUGUCGGGGAGCAAAGCGAGUCACGUGUGACUCAUUGAGAGUACCCGAAGAAAAAGCAUCGGCUAACUCCGUGCCAGCAGCCGCGGUAAUACGGAGGAUGCGAGCGUUAUCCGGAUUUAUUGGGUUUAAAGGGUGCGAGGGGGGAGGUGGAAGUCAGCGGUAAAAUUGCGGGGCUCAACCCCGUACUGCCGUUGAAACUGCAUGGCUUGAGUGCGCGAGAAGUAUGCGGAAUGCGUGGUGUAGCGGUGAAAUGCAUAGAUAUCACGCAGAACUCCGAUUGCGAAGGCAGCAUACCGGCGCGCAACUGACGCUGAGGCACGAAAGCGUGGGUAUCGAACAGGAUUAGAUACCCGGGUAGUC